Molecule: long non-coding RNA, 1465 nt
Filed under: Mus musculus (house mouse)
Lineage: Eukaryota; Metazoa; Chordata; Mammalia; Rodentia; Muridae
Description: long non-coding RNA chr3:40978569-40980034
Source: RNAcentral
UGCACCAAGCAGAGUGCACAGAGCUUUUUAUAAUUAAGGAAAUUAGCACCAUUGUUUACUGAGGCAGGACAGGUGCCCUGAGAGUAAAACCUAUGGAAGUCUCCAACUAGUGAAAAUAGGAAUUGAUUUGAAAGAAGAGAAACUAAACUGAGACUGUGGCUAUGUAAACAGACUUUUAUGAGAACUAUUUCCCGGUUUUGGAAGACCACGUGUGUUGGAAUGCUGGUUAGAGGCUAGUUAAGCUGCUUACAGGUAAUAGGAGCCAGCACAGCACCCCAGUCUGGCAGUAGAACUUGGAUGCUUCAUCAGCAUGUAAAAUGCUAGUUACAGAGUCAUGGAGGCUUACACCAUUGUUAGAAGCUCUAUAAGGUCAAGUUGCAAAGUAGUCUUCCAGGCUGUUGGGAGUUCCAGAAUUGUGGAACACCUACCAAGGAAAUCUGGAAUAGAGUCAUCCCAUGAGAGAGGCUGUAUAUAUAUACUACACGUGACAAAGUUGGAGGGGCGGAGCUGUUCAUGGUCACUGGAUCCCAGAUGAUAGUCCCACAAGCCCCAGAUGCUGAUCAUGGUAUAGUGCUUUCCCUCCUAGGUUUAGCUGUUGCUUUGAUCCAGUCUUCCCUUGCUAUACCCCAUUCCUCUCCGUUGGAAUGGAAAUGUUUACUCUAUAUGCCUUUGUACAUUGGAAGUAUGUAACUUGUUUUCUGAAAUUAUAGAAACUCACGGUUAAGACCUUGCCUGGCAUCUCAGAGCCUUUGGGCUUUUGAGCAAUGUUGGGACAAUUAAAGACUGUGGUGACUUUUGAAGUCAGACUGAAUUUAUUUUGCUUUAUGAGCCUAUGGGAGUCAGAGAUGAAAUGUAAUGGUUUAAAAGUGAUUUGUUUGACAGUCAGGUUGACAAGGAGUGUACUUGUGAUAAUUAAUCUUCAUUGUCAACUUGACUGGUUAUGUCUGUGGGGGCAUUUCCAGAGAGGGUUAACUGAAGAGGGAAGACCCAUCCUAAGCAUGGGCUGGGUGCUUGGCCUGAGUACCAGCAUUCAUCUCUGUGCUUCCUGACUGCAGACACAGUGUGACCAGCCACCUCAUGCUCCUAUCACCAUGCCUUCCCUGCCAUCAUGGAUUCUGCCCUUCAAACUGUGAGCCAAAAUAAAUCCUUCUUCCCUUAAGUUGCUUCUUGUCAAGUGUCUUGUUGCAGCGACAUAAAGAGACAGCUAAUUUAUAGCCUAGAAGUAAACAAUGAUGGACUUUUUAGAUAUUUCUGUUUGAGACCAAAAUAUUUCCUUUGGUUUUAUUCCUUGUAUAAUUGCAAACCAUACACAAAAUUUGUUACUCUUUAAAGCACAAAGAACUAGUUUCCGGUGUUUAUCUUUUCAUAGUUUUCUACCCAUAAUGUCUCUCUGCAAGAACUACUGUAUGUUUUUAAAGAGAAGUGAACUUUAGGUUUCUAGUCCUAAAGAUUAUUCAAAUAACUG